AUUGAACGCUGGCGGCAGGCCUAACACAUGCAAGUCGAGCGGAUGAAGGGAGCUUGCUCCUGGAUUCAGCGGCGGACGGGUGAGUAAUGCCUAGGAAUCUGCCUGGUAGUGGGGGAUAACGUCCGGAAACGGGCGCUAAUACCGCAUACGUCCUGAGGGAGAAAGUGGGGGAUCUUCGGACCUCACGCUAUCAGAUGAGCCUAGGUCGGAUUAGCUAGUUGGUGGGGUAAAGGCCUACCAAGGCGACGAUCCGUAACUGGUCUGAGAGGAUGAUCAGUCACACUGGAACUGAGACACGGUCCAGACUCCUACGGGAGGCAGCAGUGGGGAAUAUUGGACAAAGGGCGAAAGCCUGAUCCAGCCAUGCCGCGUGUGUGAAGAAGGUCUUCGGAUUGUAAAGCACUUUAAGUUGGGAGAAAGGGCAGUAAGUUAAUACCUUGCUGUUUUGACGUUACCAACAGAAUAAGCACCGGCUAACUUCGUG
This 484-nucleotide ribosomal RNA is filed under the name uncultured bacterium. RNAcentral describes it as "partial 16S ribosomal RNA". It matches the Rfam family "Bacterial small subunit ribosomal RNA", at positions 30 to 507 of the family's 1533-position model. The record is from RNAcentral.